Molecule: non-coding RNA, 1161 nt
Organism: Prunus avium (sweet cherry)
Lineage: Eukaryota; Viridiplantae; Streptophyta; Magnoliopsida; Rosales; Rosaceae
Source: RefSeq, a predicted model, not a curated record
CUGAAAUAUACACAAAGGCAAUGUUCCAAAAGUUUGAACAGGAGCUAAUGCAAAGUUUACCGUGUUUCAUGGAACUGAAAAUGGAUGAUGCUUCCAAAGCUAUCUAUAAAGUGAGUGAAAGGAAAAGGGGGAAAACAAGAGUGACAGAAGUUGUAUAUGAUAAAUAUUUCGAUCAAUGGUCGUGUAGCUGUAAAGGAUUUGAAUUUAUUGGGAUUCUUUGCUGCCAUGCACUGGCAUUGUUAAAAAGAGAGCAAAUUGAAUAUCUGCCCAAUAAAUACAUUUUGAAUAGAUGGAAGAAAACUGCAAAAUCUGGAUUUGUGUCAGAUUCAAAUGGCAAUGAAAUUAAAGAUUGUGAGAACAGUUCUCUCCUAAUAAAGCGAAGUAGAAUGUCCAUACUUGCUUCAGAUGUAAUUGAGCAUGCUUUAAUGUCCGAAGAAGGUUGUGAGCUAUUGUCGAAUAAUCUAAACGAUACGCGGGUGACAUUGAAGUUAUUGAAUGAUGGGGUCAGUCCAAGCAAAGUUGGAGGGUCCCAAACACGAUAUUUGAAGGACCCUAAGAGAGUAACGCACAAAGGAAGCUCAAAACGAGUAAAGGGAGCAAAGGAAAAAGGAAUGGAGCGAGGGAUCCGACAUUGUCAGCAGUGUGGACAAACUAGUCAUGAUAUAAGACGAUGUCCAAGAAUGGCGAACACACCGACAUCCCCGUCAGACAAUGAAGAAUCAACUCCGAUCAAUCUUAGUGACCCGUAAUUCGAUGAAUUUGAUAGCAUGCACGGACCUACCAAGUGAUUUAUGUUUCUACUAUACGAAGCUCAUUUUCCGUCAAUAUUGUUGGACCCAGAUUUUUGGCUUAUGGAAGAUUGUUGUCAUUGAGAACCUUCAUCAAUUUGGCUGUUUUUUAUGAGAGUUGGACCUAUCAACUCUUAAUUUUGACGGUGCACAUCCAUUUAUUGCCUUUUAUGGUAAUACAAAGGCAAUUCGGGGUAAUACAGUGGCAAUAUAAAGGCAAUUGGGGGCAAUGCAGUGGCAAAAUGAAGGCAAUUGGAGGCUAUAUAGUGCCAAUACUAGAGCAAUAGGAGACUAUACAUUGGCAAUACAAAAACUCCAAUAGUCCACGAUUUUGUAAACAUUGCUAUCUGAAGGAUACAUGAAAUUUUGUGAC